This 196-nucleotide non-coding RNA is filed under the name Clostridium sp. Its description in RNAcentral is "T-box sequence". It matches the Rfam family "T-box leader". Rfam says of the family: Uncharged tRNA acts as the effector for transcription antitermination of genes in the T-box leader family. T-boxes are found upstream of many aminoacyl-tRNA synthetase genes and some amino acid biosynthetic genes usually in Gram-positive bacteria. Lineage: Bacteria; Bacillati; Bacillota; Clostridia; Eubacteriales; Clostridiaceae. The record is from RNAcentral.
AUAAAAACAAAGACCAAGAGGAGUAAUAUAUACUACUUAUUAGAGAUGAAAAGUUAUUAGCUGAAAGCUUUUCUUAAGGAAUAUAUAUGAAGGUAGCUUGUGAGUUUAAUUUCUGAGUUUAGUAAGAAAUUACGUAAUUAUGCGUUAAAAAUAUAAGAAGUAAAUAAGGUGGUACCACGAUUUAAUCGUCCUUUGG